UCAGUUGAUACUCUCAUCCAUCUUUGUUUGUCACAACACAAAUAGUACUUUAAAUUACUCAAAACUUAGCACACUCAUUCAUCCAUCAUCCUUCCUCAAUCUUUUUAAAACUAUUCAAAAUCCUAAAGCAACCUUUUACAAAAAAAAUAAUUAAGUCCUUUCUUAAGAAAUAUAUAAGUGACGAGGUGGACAAUCUUAAAGUAAUUGGUAUUAAAUUAGUUGCUGUUAGAAUCAAUACAGAAACCAUUCAAGACAGUGGAGUCUCUCACUACUAGGAUAGCUUUCUUCAUGAAAUUAUAUCUUAAGAAGACAAUAAUUAGUAAGAAUAGUAACAACUCUGUUCCAUUUAAACUGAGUAUUGUAGCAUUUUUCUUCUAUGUGAUGAUAACACCUCUUAACAGAAAACUCAAUAAUGAAAGAAAAAAGUUGAUUUAUUCCUUAAGAUUGAUCAAUGAUCAAAACUCUUUUGAAACAGUUCUUUCUAAAUAACACAAAUAAACCAACACCUCUGCUAAUUAACACCAUCAACUGUAAUAAUAUAUUGUAGGCAGCUACUUUGACAAUAGAGCUAUGCUUGGCACAUACUCAUAAAUCCAUAAAUUUGAAAUUGGCGAAGUGUGUUCCCUUGAUGAUCGUAUGACGUGAGCUUCUGCUGCUCAACAUUUCCUCCAAGGAUUUCAGCACCAUCAUUCCAAAUACCAUAAAAACGAAACAUUGACUGAGUUGUGUCAAAGUUAUACUUUUUGUCCCACCCAUUUUUUUUUUCCAUAAUCCAUAUUUCCAACCAAACCAUACUAGAAUUCCUAUACUCCACAACAUAACCAAGAGAGCCCUUUAUCUCAAUGAGGUCAUCACGGAAAUAUGAGAUAAACACGGCAGUAUCAGGUAAUUUUGGG
RNAcentral lists this long non-coding RNA (896 nucleotides) under Medicago truncatula (barrel medic). Its description in RNAcentral is "long non-coding RNA (MTRU_LNC002076)". The record is from RNAcentral. Lineage: Eukaryota; Viridiplantae; Streptophyta; Magnoliopsida; Fabales; Fabaceae.